Long non-coding RNA from Lolium rigidum, 331 nucleotides. RefSeq lists it as uncharacterized. The transcript has 3 exons. The record is from RefSeq and is a predicted model, not a curated record. Lineage: Eukaryota; Viridiplantae; Streptophyta; Magnoliopsida; Poales; Poaceae.
CACUUUCUAUAUGUGGGGAAUUCAGUACAAGUGCAUCUAAAAAAUGCAAUAGAAGAGUGUGGUUCUGAAGUUCACUAUUUUAUGAGGAAGGUAGUGAAAAUUAUUUCUCUUAUUUUCUGCAGUUGGAAGGUGAAGAACUUCCACGUAAAUUUGAUUAGCAAAAUUCCUUAAUACAUGGCUGUAUUUUCUGCAGUUGGAAGGCGAAGAAAUUGCAGGCAGACCGCUGGCACUGAACUUCACUCACAUCAUGGAAGCAAUGUGUCGGGAGUCCAUGGCUUCAGCGAGUCUCUCACGCCCAGGUCAGCCUGCCGCGCGUCCCACGACCACUGCC